GUGAGUCAUCGAAUCUUUGAACGCACAUUGCGCCCUUUGGUAUUCCUUAGGGCAUGCCUGUUCGAGCGUCAUUUCACCUUCAAGCACAGCUUGGUGUUGGGCGUCUGUCCUUCCGGACUCGCCUCAAAAAGAUUGGCGGCCACUUCAGCGGCUUUGAGCGCAGCAGAAUUGCGUCUUCUGGCAGCGGGAAGCGGCACCCACAAGUUUUUCAACAGUUUGACCUCGGAUCAGGUAGGGAUACCCGCUGAACUUAAGCAUAUCAAUAAGCGGAGGA
This 274-nucleotide unclassified non-coding RNA is filed under the name Lophiostoma sp. Its description in RNAcentral is "partial contains 5.8S ribosomal RNA, internal transcribed spacer 2, and large subunit ribosomal RNA". The stretch from base 1 to 71 matches the Rfam family "5.8S ribosomal RNA", at positions 84 to 154 of the family's 154-position model. Lineage: Eukaryota; Fungi; Ascomycota; Dothideomycetes; Pleosporales; Lophiostomataceae. The record is from RNAcentral.